GUCAAAGCAUUGGGCUCAGGCAGCUUGUGAUCAGAACAAGUGGAAUACCAGCGUCGACUGGGACUGCUCUGACUGCAGCUUAGAGUACGGCAGACGAGGAUGGAUACUGCGUGUAGCAGUCGAAAUGCGUAGAUUAUGUCGGGAGGGGAACACCCCACGGGGCGGAGGCAAUCCUUCUCGGGCCUGUACUGACGCUCAUGCACGAAAGCGUGGGGAGCAGAACCAGAAUUAGGAUACCCUCGUUAGUUCCACCGCCCCUAAAACGAAGUCAACUGGUUGUUGGGAGGGGUUUUUUUCUUCAGUAACGUAGCUAACGCGUGAAGUUGACCGCCUGGGGGAGUACGGCCGCAAGGUUGAAACUCAAAAGGAAUUGACGGGGACCCCGCACACAGCGGUGGAUGAUGUGGUUUAAUUUGAUGCAACGCGAAAAAACCUUUACUUACCCCUUGACAUGCCAGGAAUCCUGCAGAGAUGUGGGAGUGCUCGAAAGAGAACCUGGACACAGGUGCUGCAUGGCCGUCGUCAGCUCGUGUCGUGAGAUGUUGGGUUAAGUCCCGCAACGAGCGCAACCCUUGUCAUUAGUUGCUACGAAAGGGCACUCUAAUGAGACUGCCGGUGACAAACCGGAGGAAGGUGGGGAUGACGUCAGGUCAUCAUGGCCCUUAUGGGUAGGGGUACACACGUCAUACAAUGGCCGGGACAGAGGGCUGCCAACCCGCGAGGGGGAGGUAAUCCCAGAAACCCGGUCGUAGUCCGGAUCGCAGUCUGCAACUCGACUGCGUGAAGUCGGAAUCGCUAGUAAUCGCGGAUCAGCUUGCCGCGGUGAAUACGUUCCCGGGUCUUGUACACACCGCCCGUCACACCAUGGGAGCGGGUUUUGCCAGAAGUAGUUAGCCUAACCGCAAGGAGGGCGAUUACCACGGCAGGGUUCGUGACUGGGGUGAAGUGUAACAAGGUAACC
RNAcentral lists this ribosomal RNA (961 nucleotides) under uncultured bacterium. RNAcentral's name for it is "bacterial SSU rRNA". It matches the Rfam family "Bacterial small subunit ribosomal RNA", at positions 594 to 1501 of the family's 1533-position model. The record is from RNAcentral.